UUAAAGGAAUUUGACGGGUCCCCGCACAAGCAGCGGAGCGUGUGGUUUAAUUCGUUGCUACACGAAGAACCUUACCUGGGUUUGACAUAGCAGUGGUAGGGAAGCGAAAGCGGACCGACCCUUCGGGGAGCUGUUACAGGUGUUGCAUGGCUGUCGUCAGCUCGUGUCGUGAGAUGUUCGGUUAAGUCCGCUAACGAGCGCAACCCGCGUUGUGUGUUACAAGUGUCACACAAUACCGCCGGUAUUAAGUCGGAGGAAGGUGCGGAUGACGCCAAGUCAGCAUGACCUUUAUAUCCAGGGCUACACACACGCUACAAUGGUCAGCACAAUAGGUUGCCAGGUCGUGAGACGGAGCCAAUCCUCCAAAGCUGGCCUCAGUUCAGAUUGUAGGCUGCAACCCGCCUGCAUGAAGUUGGAGUUGCUAGUAACCGCAGGUCAGCUAUACUGCGGUGAAUACGUUCCCGGGGAUU
Molecule: ribosomal RNA, 470 nt
Filed under: uncultured Anaerolineaceae bacterium
Lineage: Bacteria; Bacillati; Chloroflexota; Anaerolineae; Anaerolineales; Anaerolineaceae
Description: bacterial SSU rRNA
Rfam family: Bacterial small subunit ribosomal RNA
Source: RNAcentral